GGAGUUAGCCGGUGCUUCUUCUGUGAGUGAUGUCCUUCCUGCCGGCUAUUAACCCGCAGGCCUUCUUCCUCACUGAAAGUGCUUUACAACCCGAAGGCCUUCUUCACACACGCGGCAUGGCUGGAUCAGGGUUGCCCCCAUUGUCCAAUAUUCCCCACUGCUGCCUCCCGUAGGAGUCUGGGCCGUGUCUCAGUCCCAGUGUGGCUGAUCAUCCUCUCAGACCAGCUACGGAUCGUCGCCUUGGUGAGCCGUUACCUCACCAACCAGCUAAUCCGACAUAGGCUCAUCCGAUAGCGCGAGGCCCGAAGGUCCCCCGCUUUCCCCCGUAGGGCGUAUGCGGUAUUAGCCUGGGUUUCCCCAGGUUAUCCCCCACUACCGGGCAGAUUCCUAUGCAUUACUCACCCGUCCGCCGCUCGCCACCAGGGAGCAAGCUCCCCGUGCUGCCGCUCGACUUGCAUGUGUUAGCNGCCGCCAGCGUCAUCUGAGCAGAUACAACUACUGA
Molecule: ribosomal RNA, 502 nt
Filed under: uncultured bacterium
Lineage: Bacteria
Description: partial 16S ribosomal RNA
Source: RNAcentral